GGUUGUGGCUCAGUGGUAGAGCGCUCACCUAGCAUGCGUUGAGGCACUGGGUUCGAUCCUCAGCACCA
Molecule: transfer RNA, 68 nt
Filed under: Marmota monax (woodchuck)
Lineage: Eukaryota; Metazoa; Chordata; Mammalia; Rodentia; Sciuridae
Description: tRNA.Ala
Source: RNAcentral